AAGAAGUUAAAAAUAUGCUUAAAAAAUGUUAAGCCAAGACAUUCAACAAGUCCAGAAGAAUGUUUUUGUACUGUGUUUGCAAACAGCAACCUCCUCUGUAGUGUAUGUAGCCUGUUCCUUGUAUUGGCUGCUGGAAGGGACGUUGGAGACAGUU
This is a small nucleolar RNA of Cavia porcellus (domestic guinea pig), 154 nucleotides long. Its record names the gene SNORA70. It matches the Rfam family "Small nucleolar RNA SNORA70". Rfam says of the family: snoRNA U70 seems to be exclusive to mammals and is a member of the H/ACA class of snoRNA which contain H (ANANNA) and ACA box motifs. H/ACA box snoRNAs are involved in the conversion of uridines to pseudouridines (5-ribosyluracil) a constituent of structural RNAs (transfer, ribosomal, small nuclear, and small nucleolar). Lineage: Eukaryota; Metazoa; Chordata; Mammalia; Rodentia; Caviidae. The record is from Ensembl.